UUAAGUUCAGCGGGUAUCCCCGCCUGAUCCGAGGUCAAACAUGGCGCGAGCGCCGGUUUUGGGCGGGCGGUCCCCCUCCCGUCGUAACAUGCGCGACGAUCGGGGCGAAGGGCCACCGCCAACGGGUUCCGGGGGGGUCGCGCGGACGCGACGUCCCCCAACACCCAGCGAGGCUGGAUUGUUGCAAUGACGCUCGGACA
This 200-nucleotide unclassified non-coding RNA is filed under the name Arthrographis sp. RNAcentral describes it as "partial internal transcribed spacer 2". The record is from RNAcentral. Lineage: Eukaryota; Fungi; Ascomycota; Dothideomycetes; Eremomycetales; Eremomycetaceae.